Molecule: ribosomal RNA, 254 nt
Filed under: uncultured bacterium
Lineage: Bacteria
Description: partial 16S ribosomal RNA
Rfam family: Bacterial small subunit ribosomal RNA
Source: RNAcentral
UACGUGAGUCACGAACGUUAUCCGGUUUUACUGGGUUUAAAGGGUGCGUAGACGGUGUAAUUAGUUAUUAUGGGAAGCAGAGCUCAACUUUGCGGAUAAUAGUAAUACUGUUACGCUAGAGGCAAUGAGAGGUCAAUAGAAUCUCGCAUGGAGAGGUAAAAUUCAGAGAUAUGCGAGGGAAUACCAAAAAAGGCGAAGGCAAUUGACUAUUGUUGAUCUGACGUUGAGGCACGAAAGUAUGGGGAGCAAAUCGG